RNAcentral lists this long non-coding RNA (589 nucleotides) under Nicotiana benthamiana. RNAcentral describes it as "long non-coding RNA (NBEN_LNC009628)". Lineage: Eukaryota; Viridiplantae; Streptophyta; Magnoliopsida; Solanales; Solanaceae. The record is from RNAcentral.
UGUACUCAAGUGUUGAUCGAAAUAAUGAAUGUUUGAUGGAUGUAGAAGAUCUCCAUUAACAUAAAUCUGAUAGCCACUGACAAAAGCAGAUAGAUGAAUCUUUGGCGUCUAAACAAGGAUGACUAAUUGGUGUAUGACCUCCGGAUAUGUUAGUGCACUCCGUUAGGCAUAUCCUUGAAUCUUUUUCUGGUGGACAAAUAACCCCCAGGACAAAUCGUUCACAAACCCCUGUUUCAAUACCUUCAACUGAACGCAUUCCAUUGUCUGCACAUAUAAAAAAAUACUUGUUAUUAAUGUUACAAUGUGCAAAUGUAUUUCAGGACAAGUUUACGGGAUAACUUAUAAAAAAUCUUCUCCCCGCAGAUAAUUUGACUUCAACAGAGUUAAUAUGGCCUUAGUCAAAUCCAAUUUCAUUUGAUUAAUAAAUGGGGAAAAAAAAAGAAUAUCCAAAAGACUUGCCACCUUUUUGGAUAACAAACCUAGCAUAAGUAUCGGUAGAAAAAUUAGUUUAUUAGCAAGAAUAUACCUGAUGCAAGAAUAAAAAAAGCGGUCACAACGAAAAAUGUUGCUAAUGUUUGACUCAUCUUCU